AGAGUUUGAUCCUGGCUCAGGGUGAACGCUAGCGGCGUGCAUUAGGCAUGCAAGUAGAGCGAGAAAUCCGAGCUUGCUCGGAUGGAUAGCUGCGAACGGCUGAGUAAUAGAUAGGAAUCUACCUCUUGGUGGGGAAUACCCAUUCGAAAGAAUGGCUAAUACCGCAUAAGAACUAAGGUUGAAAGGCGCAAGUCGCCGAGAGAGGAGCCUAUCGCCCAUCAGCUUGUUGGUGAGGUAAUGGCUUACCAAGGCUACGACGGGUAGGGGGUGUGAGAGCAUGACCCCCCAGAAUGGGACUGAGACACGGCCCAUACACCUACGGGUGGCAGCAACUAGGAAUCGUACGCAAUGGACGAAAGUCUGACGUCGCGACGCCGCGUGAGGGAUGAAGGCCUUAGGGUUGUAAACCUCUUUUGCUUCAAUGGAGACAUUGUUGAGAAUAAGUGCCCGCUAAUCUCGUGCCAGCAGCUGCGGUAAUACGAGAGGCACAAGCGUUGCCCGGAUUUACUGGGCGUAAAGUGUUCCGUAGGCGCAUUGGCAAGUUGUUCUUCAAAGCCCGAGGCUCAACCUCGGAUCGGGGAGCAAUACUACCAAUGUUGAAGGAUUCUGGGGCUACUGGAACUAUCGGUGUAGAAGUGAAAUUCGUUGAUAUCGAUAGGAACUCCAAGGGCGAAGGCAGGUAGCUAAGAAUUUCUUGACGCUGAGGGACGACAGCUAGGGUAGCGAAAGGGAUUAGAGACCCCUGUAGUCCUAGCCGUAAACUAUGCUCGCUAGUCUCCCGGAUUUUUCUGGGGGACGUAAGCUAACACGUGAAGCGAGCCGCCUGGGGAGUACGACCGCAAGGUUAAAACUCAAAGGAAUUGACGGGGACCUGCACAACCAGUGGAUUAUGUGGUUUAAUUCGAGACAAACCGAAGGACCUUACCCGGGUUUGACAUGUUACCGUUUUAGGCAUCUGGAAACAGGAGCUGAUCCGCAAGGAUGGUAACACAGGUGUUGCAUGGCUGUCGUCAGCUCGUGCCGUGGGGUGUUCCCUUCAGUGGGGUAACGAGCGCAACCCCUAUCGUAAGUUGAAUUAUUCUUACGAGACUACUUUAAUUUAUUAGAGAGGAAGUGGGGACGACGUCAAGUCAGCAUGGCCCUUAUGUCCGGGGCGACACACAUAAUACAAUGGAGCCGACAAUGGGUUGCCAAGCGGUAACGCGGAGCUAAUCCCAUCAAACGGCUUCUCAGUGGGGAUUGAGGGCUGCAACUCGCCCUCAUGAACGCGGAAUUGGUAGUAAUCGCAAAUCAGCUAAGUUGCGGUGAAUACGUUCUCGGGUCUUGUACACACCGCCCGUCAAGUCAGUAAAGUUAGGAGCACCCGAAUGUCCGGUGAUCGGGCAGAAGGUGAUACUAGCGAUAAGGAUUAAGUCGUAACAAGGUAACC
RNAcentral lists this ribosomal RNA (1429 nucleotides) under uncultured bacterium. RNAcentral describes it as "bacterial SSU rRNA". It matches the Rfam family "Bacterial small subunit ribosomal RNA". The record is from RNAcentral.